RNAcentral lists this long non-coding RNA (1023 nucleotides) under Olea europaea subsp. europaea. The record is from RNAcentral. Lineage: Eukaryota; Viridiplantae; Streptophyta; Magnoliopsida; Lamiales; Oleaceae.
ACUACUCAGUCAUUAAAAUUCUGCAUUAACAUGGUGAAGACUGUUACUACCAUCUUGCCUAUAUAAACCCAUGUCUUGCUUUGGGAAAAGACACACAAAAAGAAAAUAGAAUCAAUCACUCUUUUCAUAUUGUGAACUUCUUAUAUUCGGGUUUUUAUACCUAUUCUGGAGUACAAUUGAGAGUUCUAGAAAAACCAUUCGUGAUUGCUGCAUAAGUGGUUUACGAUCGUUGUAUCCUGGGAGUGAUUGUCCACGGAGGUCACAGCAAUUAUUGACGGGCAAUUUCACUUUAGGACAUCGUGCUGUCACGAGACUCGAUCGAUAAGUUUUAUAUUUCUGCAUUAUAUUGUUCUGAUCACUGCUGCAACUAAUUAUUUUUCCAACACGGAGUGCAGGUGUUAUUUUAUAUAUUCUACUCGGUGGUAUGCCUUCAUUUUGGGCUGGUAAGACUAAUUAACUAGUGUAACAUCUUCUUCUAUAAUUCGCUUGGUAAACGCUAAUUCUUUUGCUGCAGAAAUUGAGAAGGGGAUAUUUGACACUGCACUGAAAGCGGAAGUUGACUUUGGUCACCACAUGUGGCCCUCCAUUAUCCAUAUCUAAUAGUGCCAAAUACAUUGCCCUUCGGCACAUAAUUCAGUGGUGUAAAGGACAGGAGUGAGGUAGUCUCAACCUUACUGACAACCGCAGUAAAAGGGUUUGAUUUUUGAGAUAUGGAAUUGGACUCCUUGUAGACACCAGUGUACGGGCAAGUUCUUAUUCCCUGGCCUGUUGGGACACAUCCCACAAUUUACCUUUCUCACGGUGCUCCAAAGGCAGAGCGGUGGGAGCCCUCAAUGUUGGGUUUCAACCUUUUUUAAAUAUGUUGUUCAAAAAUCAAAAGAUGCUGACAGAGGAUCCAAAGAAGAGAAUUACUUCAGCAGAAGUACUAGGUAAUUUACCAUUAAAUCAUCAUAUUACAAGGCACUUCUUUUGCAUAUGAUCUAUUUUAAUUUUUCAACCUCUUAAUGUUGGACUGUGUGGAGC